RNAcentral lists this transfer RNA (72 nucleotides) under Hordeum vulgare subsp. vulgare (domesticated barley). It matches the Rfam family "tRNA". From Rfam's summary of the family: Transfer RNA (tRNA) molecules are approximately 80 nucleotides in length. Lineage: Eukaryota; Viridiplantae; Streptophyta; Magnoliopsida; Poales; Poaceae. The record is from Rfam by way of RNAcentral.
GGAGCAGUAGCAGAGUGAUGAUGCUUGGGUGUGGAGUUGAGAAGGGCAUGGGUUCAAAUCCCCUCUGCCCCC